UUAGAAAAACUAGUCGCCAAUUUAAAAUAUUUUCGGAGUGUUUGAAUGAUAUCUUCAAAGCUAAUCCCACUCUCAAAUUCAGCGAAAUGAACAAUACAGAUAAGGAAGAUGAAGAGGGUGGAAAACCCACACAGCGGAAUGGAGCUGUCCAUGCCGCGGGAGUGACAGGGGAGCGCUCAGAGGUAAGGCGCUCUGCAGAGAAAGUCACUCUGGCUCUUCUCUCUCGGUCCACCAGCCAGCGACGCUUCUUCUGUAAAAGCAUUCCUAGAAAAUAACCCUACAACCGGGAAGGGUAGCGAUCUUUGAGCGCAGUUUCCAGGAGCUGGUCCCCGCAGCAGGGAGAGGCCCCUCUCCCCCCGCGGCUGGCGCGGAAUGUGGCGAUCCGGCCCGGCGCGGGGGAUGACUUCCUGCGGCCGGAGCUCGGCGGCGGGAGCGGCGGGAGCAGCUGCUGCAGCUGGCAGGUGGGGUGGGGGCCGGCCGAACUGACCAAGCACAGACCCGGCGCGGCGGCACUGCGGCCCCGGGGCAGCCGGCGCGGGGACAUGCGCUGAUUCGAUCCCUCCGGAGAAGGCUCCGGACGUGCAGGCUCAGCAGCCAUGGCUCAUGGGCCCAGCCCACUCUGCGGCAUGUGGGAUCCUCCCGGACCGGGGCACGAACCCGCAUCCCCUGCAUCGGCAGGCGGACUCUCAACCACUGCGCCACCAGGGAAGCCCAGAUCUUCAUUUUUUUAAGGACCUAAACUGGGAGCUCUUCAUUAGCGCUGGCACAAAGGCUGCUGAGAUGAAUAGGAAGCAAGUGCCAAGGAGGAUAGUGAAUCAAAGAACCUUGAUUCAUGGAAAAGGAAUCCCAGAAGGAGCUCUAAACGUUACACAUUCCAAAGGAUUUAUUCAGGGUUUUCCAAUCAAAAUCAUUUUUACAAAAAAGAAACAGUUCUCAGACUUCGAGUAGUAUACUGCCAAGUAUGUGGAAGAACAUUGCCAGCAGUUGAGUGGUGUGGUCUGCUUUGAAAUAUAUUCAGUUUGCUUAGGAUGGACAUAUGUCUACUUCAAAGUUACUAUUUCUUUCUAGUAAUGCUGUCUACAGUACUGUAUUUGCUUUUGGCAAGUUAAGAAAACAAUGACAUCCCUCCCAGGUUCUAAAACAAUUACCAGCAUAAAAAUACAUUAAACUUUUUAGCUGAUACUUAAGGAAACCAGUACUAGCUAGCAUUCCUACUGAUGCUAGUAUUCAAAGAGAGGCGUGACAUAACCAUUAAUCUAGAAAACACCAGGUUGGAAAGAUGGAGAGAAAGAACUCAAGAGGACUACUUAAGCUGUUGCUUUCUUUACAUGUCCCCAAAUAUGAUAAUAACCAUAUAAGCUCCUAAAAUAAGUGCAAUUUUAUGCAAACUUCAUAGUCUGCCUAGUAUGAGGUAAAUUUGUACUUUAUUUUAUAGUAUAUUUUUAUUUUUUAUUUUGGUAAAAUGUCCCAUAAUGUAAAAUUUACCAUUUUAACCAUUUUUAAGUGUAUCAUUUAUUGGUAUUAAGUACAUUCACAAUGUUGAGCAACCAUUACCAUUAUCCAUUUUAAGACCUUUCUUGUUAUCCCAAACAGAAACUGUACUCACUAAACAAUAACCCCUUAUUUCUCCCCUCCCCUUAGCCUCUGGUUAACUCUAUUCUAUUUUCUGGGUUUAUAAUUUGCCUAUCCUAACUACCUCAUAUAAGUGGAAUCAUAUAAUAGUUGUCCUUUUGUGUCUGGCUUCUUUCACUUAACAUAAUGUUUUCAAAGUUUAUCCAUGUUAUAGCAUGUAGCAGCAUUUCAUUCCUUUUUAAAGCCAUACAAUGUAUAGUGAUUUUUAGUUGCAAAACACUUUUAGUACAUUGUGUUUCUAUUAUAUUAAUGAUAUCUAGCAUAUAUCACUACCAUAUUACCUUUAGUAGAUGCCCAGUAAUGUGUACUAUGAGUGAGCCAUAAUUUCAUUCAGUCAAAACCCAUUGAUAAACAUUUAUUAAGUUCCAAACAGUUUUAUGAUUUCAAGAAAUGUGGUAAUGGACAUAGAGGUUCAUGUCUUGAUGUCCUGGAGCUUUUGCUUUUGAUGGAAGAAUUCUUGGAGUGGCAUGGAAUGGUAUUGUUGAGUCAGAGAUUAUGCAGAAACAUUUAUCAUUUGAAUACAUACAUUGACUAUAAAAACCAUCAACUUCUUCAACAGAUAAUAUUCCUGUAUUUUAUGUAACCAUUUAUGACUAUCUUAAAAAUGAAUGCAAGUAAUGUAAGGGAAUCCACUUAAUGUGAUUUGAGCAAGGAAACAUUCUCACUUUUUUCAUUUCUAGUUCAUGGAAGAAAAUUCCUAUACACAAGUAUUGAAAUAUUUCAAGUCUCUGGAUCACACAUUUCAUCAUUUCAAAAAUAUUACAGAGUACAUCACGGAUGUCAGUCAAGUCUUGUAACAGCAGUGUAGAAAACUAGUAACAUUUAUAGCUAGUUUGUUUUUAAGCUUCAGCAAUGGAUCAAUUCUAUCCAGCCUAAUCUGUAAUUUUAAUUAGAUUAAUUUUUAAAAUAAAACAGAUUAAUUUUUAAUUUAAAAGUAUUUUUAGUUCAUAUUUAUGUACCUGCAUUA
Molecule: long non-coding RNA, 2599 nt
Organism: Mesoplodon densirostris (Blainville's beaked whale)
Lineage: Eukaryota; Metazoa; Chordata; Mammalia; Artiodactyla; Ziphiidae
Exons: 3
Source: RefSeq, a predicted model, not a curated record